UAGUGAUCAACGGGGAAAGGCCCCU
This 25-nucleotide unclassified non-coding RNA is filed under the name Mus musculus (house mouse). RNAcentral describes it as "oocyte_clustered_small_RNA93". The record is from RNAcentral. Lineage: Eukaryota; Metazoa; Chordata; Mammalia; Rodentia; Muridae.